RNAcentral lists this ribosomal RNA (374 nucleotides) under uncultured bacterium. RNAcentral's name for it is "bacterial SSU rRNA". It matches the Rfam family "Bacterial small subunit ribosomal RNA", at positions 525 to 896 of the family's 1533-position model. The record is from RNAcentral.
ACGUAGGGUGCGAGCGUUGUCCGGAAUUAUUGGGCGUAAAGGGCUCGUAGGCGGUUUGUCGCGUCGGGAGUGAAAAUCCAGGGCUUAACUCUGGACUGGCUUCCGAUACGGGCAGACUAGAGGUAUGCAGGGGAGAACGGAAUUCCUGGUGUAGCGGUGAAAUGCGCAGAUAUCAGGAGGAACACCGGUGGCGAAGGCGGUUCUCUGGGCAUUACCUGACGCUGAGGAGCGAAAGUGUGGGGAGCGAACAGGAUUAGAUACCCUGGUAGUCCACACCGUAAACGUUGGGCGCUAGGUGUGGGGUCCAUUCCACGGAUUCCGUGCCGCAGCUAACGCAUUAAGCGCCCCGCCUGGGGAGUACGGCCGCAAGGCUA